GACGUAGGGCGCGAGCGUUGUCCGGAUUUAUUGGGCGUAAAGAGCUCGUAGGCGGCUUGUUGCGUCGACUGUGAAAACCCGCGGCUUAACCGCGGGCUUGCAGUUGAUACGGGCAGGCUAGAGUUCGGUAGGGGAGACUGGAAUUCCUGGUGUAGCGGUGAAAUGCGCAGAUAUCAGGAGGAACACCGGUGGCGAAGGCGGGUCUCUGGGACGGUACUGACGCUGAGACGCGAAAGCGUGGGGAGCGAACAGG
Molecule: ribosomal RNA, 253 nt
Filed under: uncultured bacterium
Lineage: Bacteria
Description: partial 16S ribosomal RNA
Rfam family: Bacterial small subunit ribosomal RNA
Source: RNAcentral